Molecule: small RNA, 2227 nt
Filed under: Pongo abelii (Sumatran orangutan)
Lineage: Eukaryota; Metazoa; Chordata; Mammalia; Primates; Hominidae
Description: retained intron
Source: RNAcentral
AACUAUUCAUGGGCACUUACAGCAAGGCAACCCCAUCUUGUAGGAGGGCAUCUGUCCCCAGGGCAGGGAGCAGGAGAGCUGUUUCCAGAGGCUUCCAGGGUAACUUGGAGCAAAUCACUUACCUUUCUUGGACUCAGUCCCUGGAAGAAGAGGCCAUCCCAGACCCCUUCCUCCCAUGAACUCAUUCAUUCUGUCAGCAAACAUAGACUGGGGGUCUGCUGAGGGAGGCCGAUACAACCCACCACUGCCCACGGGCUGUGCAUGGCUUUGCUGUGGGAACAGGCCUGUAAAUGUGGCACAACCUGAGAUCUGGACAAAGGGCAGAGGAAGCUGAGACUCUUUCCCCUGGGGUGGGGGGCUUGAGGGGCUUGGGAGGACUCUCCAGAAGAGGUGGCAUUUCAACAGGGCCUUGAAAGCCAAAUGGUCCGCUCCCAUGUACCAGUACCUGGAUAGGAAACUGUUCAAGGAAGCCUACCAGAUUGCUUGCUUGGGUGUCACAGACACUGAUUGGCGUGAACUGGCCAUGGAAGCGCUAGAAGGUUUAGAUUUUGAAACAGCAAAGAAGGCCUUCAUCAGAGUACAAGACCUCCGAUAUUUAGAGCUCAUCAGCAGCAUUGAGGAUUUCCUUGGAUCUGGAGACCCCAAAGAAACAAAGAUGCUAAUCACCAAACAGGCUGACUGGGCCAGAAAUAUCAAGGAGCCCAAAGCCGCUGUGGAGAUGUACAUCUCAGCAGGAGAGCAUGUCAAGGCCAUCGAGAUCUGUGGUGACCAUGGCUGGGUUGACAUGUUGAUCGACAUCGCCCGCAAGCUGGACAAGGCUGAGCGUGAGCCCCUGCUGCUGUGCGCUACCUACCUCAAGAAGCUGGACAGCCCUGGCUAUGCUGCUGAGACCUACCUGAAGAUGGGUGACCUCAAGGCCCUGGUGCAGCUGCACGUGGAGACCCAGCGCUGGGAUGAGGCCUUUGCUUUGGGUGAGAAGCAUCCUGAGUUUAAGGAUGACAUCUACGUGCCGUAUGCUCAGUGGCUAGCAGAGAACGAUCGCUUUGAGGAAGCCCAGAAAGCGUUCCACAAGGCCGGGCGACAGAGAGAAGCGGUCCAGGUGCUGGAGCAGCUCACAAACAAUGCCGUGGCAGAGAGCAGGUUUAAUGAUGCUGCCUAUUAUUACUGGAUGCUGUCCAUGCAAUGCCUCGAUAUAGCUCAAGAUCCUGCCCAGAAGGACACAAUGCUUGGCAAGUUCUACCACUUCCAGCGUUUGGCAGAGCUGUACCAUGGCUACCAUGCCAUCCAUCGCCACACGGAAGAUCCGUUCAGUGUCCAUCGUCCUGAAACUCUUUUCAACAUCUCCAGGUUCCUGCUGCACAGCCUGCCCAAGGACACCCCCUCGGGCAUCUCUAAAGUGAAAAUACUCUUCACCUUGGCCAAGCAGAGCAAGGCCCUCGGUGCCUACAGGCUGGCCCGGCACGCCUAUGACAAGCUGCGUGGCCUGUACAUCCCUGCCAGAUUCCAAAAGUCCAUCGAGCUGGGUACCCUGACCAUCCGCGCCAAGCCCUUCCACGACAGUGAGGAGUUGGUGCCCUUGUGCUACCGCUGCUCCACCAACAACCCCCUGCUCAACAACCUGGGCAAUGUCUGCAUCAACUGCCGCCAGCCCUUCAUCUUCUCUGCCUCUUCCUACGACGUGCUACACCUGGUUGAAUUCUACCUGGAGGAAGGGAUCACUGAUGAAGAAGCCAUCUCCCUCAUCGACCUGGAGGUGCUGAGACCCAAGCGGGAUGACAGACAGCUAGAGAUUGCAAACAACAGCUCCCAGAUUCUGCGGCUAGUGGAGACCAAGGACUCCAUGGGAGAUGAGGACCCGUUCACAGCUAAGCUGAGCUUUGAGCAAGGUGGCUCAGAGUUCGUGCCAGUGGUAGUGAGUCGGCUGGUGCUGCGCUCCAUGAGCCGCCGGGAUGUCCUCAUCAAGCGCUGGCCCCCGCCCCUGAGGUGGCAAUACUUCCGCUCACUGCUGCCUGACGCCUCCAUUACCAUGUGCCCCUCCUGCUUCCAGAUGUUCCAUUCUGAGGACUAUGAGUUGCUGGUGCUUCAGCAUGGCUGCUGCCCCUACUGCCGCAGGUGCAAGGACGACCCUGGCCCAUGACCAGCAUCCUGGGGAUGGCCUGCACCCUCUGCCUGCCUUGGGGUCUGCUGGGCUGUGAAGGAGAAUAAAGAGUUAAACUGUCAGAAUGUG